CAGCAGCCGCGGGAAUACAGGGGAUGCAAGCGUUACUCGGAAUUACUGGGCGUAAAGCGUGCGUAGGUGGUUCGUUAAGUCUGAUGUGAAAGCCCUGGGCUCAACCUGGGAAUUGCAUUGGAUACUGGCGAGCUAGAGUGCGGUAGAGGGUAGUGGGAUUCCCGGUGUAGCAGUGAAAUGCGUAGAGAUCGGGAGGAACAUCUGUGGCGAAGGCGACUGCCUGGACCAGCACAGACACUGAGGCACGAAAGCGCGGGGAGCAAACAGGAUUAGAUACCCCAGUAGUCCCUGUCUCUUAUAC
RNAcentral lists this ribosomal RNA (301 nucleotides) under uncultured bacterium. Its description in RNAcentral is "partial 16S ribosomal RNA". It matches the Rfam family "Bacterial small subunit ribosomal RNA", at positions 509 to 807 of the family's 1533-position model. The record is from RNAcentral.